AGUGACGCCAUCAGCCGUCGCCUGAGCCGUGGCGCGCGGGUGGCCGAAAGGCGAAAGUGAGAUUUCAAGGGCCGGGUCUGGGGCCCCGCGGGCGCGCAGUGCUGCGGCGUGUGGGGAGUACGGGGAGGCUGGAGAGGAGCCGGCCCCGGGCAGUGUGAGGUGCGGAAGCGCGGUCCAGACACUUUGCUGACGGGAGGCCGGUCCGCCAGAUCCGGGAGGUGGGGCCUCGUUCUGGACUGCUGAUUUUCUUCACAGAAAUCAUGCCGUCUGUGAAUGAAGGGAGUUAUACUUCUUAUUUUCCAAAUGGAGAUUUUAUUUUUCUUGCAUGACUUCACUGGCUAGAACCACUACUACAAUGCUGAUUAGAAGUGAUAAGAAACAGAGGCAAAUGCAGGUUAAGGAACCUCACAGUAAGGGAUAAAACUCAUAUUUUAACCUGAUCUGCCUGAUUCUGGAGCCUGCACCAUCAUUCCAUUGUCGUGCUUGCCACAUGUCUCUUUGAGGCUUGCUAAAAUUGAUAUCCAUGAGUUCUAUCAAUUCUGGGACAGAGAACAAAUUGUGUUCUGUAAGGAUGGAGGGACAGCGAGGAAUUUGCCAAGACAUUUUGGAGUUUCUGAAAUAAAACCCACUUGAUCCCUUCUAUGUUCAUCUCCUGCGCUGGAUUUGAUUCAUUAAUAUUUUAUUUCAGUUUUUAAAUCUGUAUCUAUAAAUGACAUUCACACACCAUUUUUCAUUCUUGUAUUAUCCUUUUAUUAUCCUUAUCUUGUAUUAUCCUUGGUUUCAAUUUUAAGGUAAAUUGGGUAGUAUGUUAGUCAGGGUUCAGUUUAAGAUAACAGAUUCCAUCCUGAAAAAAAAAGGAUUUAUCCUGUGAGGUGCUAAAUGGAUUACUUACAGACAUGUUUUGAGAACUGAAGAAAGAGACUUAUUUGCAUUUCCAGGAACUGUGACUAAAUCCGUAUAGCAGAACUGAGCCCCCAGGGAAGAUACUGCCAGUGUUAUAAUCAAGAAUUUGAAACAUUAUGAAGAUGCCAUAUCUUCCACGAUCAGGAAGCCACUGAAUCAGGAACUUAUGCUGUCUCCAAAUCAGGAUACAGAAGCUGCUCUAGUUGGCAGCUCCAGAAUCACAUCACUUCUGCUAAUCAGGAAGGUAUCUGCAGUCAGGACCCCAAUGCCCAGCUGUGUCACCAGCCCCCACAGCAAAAUGGAUGCCCUGCGUCCUAAACCUCUUCCCAUUUGAUUCACUUCCAAAUUAAAGUUUCAAAUGGG
RNAcentral lists this long non-coding RNA (1266 nucleotides) under Homo sapiens (human). RNAcentral's name for it is "HSALNT0320224". Lineage: Eukaryota; Metazoa; Chordata; Mammalia; Primates; Hominidae. The record is from RNAcentral.